ACCAAAACACUUCAAGCAACAGGUGGAAUCCAAAAACACUCUCUCAUCCCAAAUCACAUAGAACAAAACCCUACUGCACUUAUCCUCUCUUCACGGUAAGUUUGCUGAUAAUUUGUCUAUAUUUUUUACUCUAGAUAUAUCAUAUCAAGACGCUAAGAAAGGAAACGCAAAGUCGCUUUUGAUCACCUAAGCAAGCAAAUUGCAACCGAUGUGGCGGUGGUUAAUUAUUCCGGCGGACUAGUCAAGACGGGCCUUGAUCCAUUGGUUAUUGAUUGAUUUCCUAUAUUUUCAUAUAAGCUAAGCGAUCAGAAAUAACUUGAUCAAGGUGAAGCAAGAGAAAUAAAGUGCUUUGUUUGUUUGGUUACUGUAGUGGAAGAUGCCAUUGUUAGGAUUUUGGCAAAUUAUAGCACAUGUUUCAUGUAAAGUGGUGUAUUGAUACAUGGCUUGAGUCAAAUGCUACUUGUCCUUUCGAUGGAUGGUUACUAUUAGAGAUAGAUCAUCAAGGACCUGAAGCUGUGGAGAGGAGAUUUGUGCAUCAGAAGCAAUCUCCUUAGCGGACUUAUUUUAUCAAGUUCUCAAGACUGUCUUUGCCCUUUCUGCGGUUCUGACUUCUGAGAUUGAGUCUGCUAUUCGUCUCCUCCCGCUAUGUUCUUUUGCUAUCAAGGUUCGGGAGGGUGUGUUGCAAUGGAGGAAUGAGAGCUGGGUGUUACUCGGUGUCAAAGUAUCGUGAAAAAAAAGUUAGCUCUCUUUCCUGGAAUUCUUUAGUGGGUGUUACUCUGUGGUCGGUAUGGUUGGCGAGGAAUAAAGCGAUUUCAGUAGUGAGAUUAAGAGGGCGGAAGAGGAGGUGGAUUUGAUUAAAGCUAGAAGUUUCAAAUUAUUAAAAGCCAAAGAUAAGUUGGGUUCCUUUAAUCUGGGUAUUCGAUUUGCGUUUCUAGUAGAGGUCCGUACGUCAGGUCGUGCGAUUGGCAGAAAGUCAUCAGUUUCGAUUAAGGAGGCUUUUUGGAUUAAUGCGACAAUAGUUUGGAUAAAGUUCAAUACCGAUGGAUCCUCUCUAGGUAAGCCGGGACCUACAGGUGUUGGUGGUAUGUUGUGAGAAAGUUCAGGUUUUGUGAAGUGUAUUUUCUUGCAUUUAGGGAUUAUUGACUCUAAUGAAGCUGAAAUUCUAGCUAUUUUUACAGCCGUUGAAUUUUAUUGGCAGUCGGCUUUUAGGGUAUGUGCAAUCGUGGAAUCUGAUUCCAAAAAUGCAUUAUGUUGGAUUUUGCAAAAACAUAAUAGAACUUGGAUAUUGUGGGAAAAAUUUAACAAGUUUGAUUAUAUCGUGGAUCAACUUAAGGAGGUUCAGUUUGUUUUCGUCCAGAGAAAUGGGAAUUACUUUGCUGACAGUCUAGCGAAAAAAGGACUGGUUGUUGCGUAUCCGUUCUUAGCAUGGAUUUAAUUUUGUUGCGGUCUGUAUUUCGUGCCAGUUGUGCUGAUGCUUAGUCUCAAGUCUGCUUCUAAGCUUUGGGUUUGCUUUCUUAUUGUGUUUUUUCUUGGUGUGUUUUGUUGUUACUGUAAGUUUCAUUCUCUUACCUUAAGAGAAGUUUUUGCAGCUGUCGGCAAUUUUUUAUUUUUGUGUCUUUUGUCUUUGGUUUUUCUGCAGUUUUUUUAUUCUUGGUUUGGGUUUUCUUAUCAAUCAGGAGUUAGGGUGGGUGUUUUGGGUUAGCCUAUUGACUAGAGAUUAGUUCUCAGAUUUCUUUUUCAAUCCUUUAAUAACAUUUUUGCAUUGUUGAUAAAAAAAAAA
Molecule: long non-coding RNA, 1780 nt
Organism: Jatropha curcas
Lineage: Eukaryota; Viridiplantae; Streptophyta; Magnoliopsida; Malpighiales; Euphorbiaceae
Source: RefSeq, a predicted model, not a curated record